This 93-nucleotide ribosomal RNA is filed under the name Staphylococcus aureus. RNAcentral describes it as "partial 23S ribosomal RNA". It matches the Rfam family "Bacterial large subunit ribosomal RNA", at positions 2832 to 2925 of the family's 2925-position model. Lineage: Bacteria; Bacillati; Bacillota; Bacilli; Caryophanales; Staphylococcaceae. The record is from RNAcentral.
GAUCCCUCAAAGAUGAUGAGGUUAAUAGGUUCGAGGUGGAAGCAUGGUGACAUGUGGAUCUGACGAAUACUAAUCGAUCGAAGACUUAAUCAA